AGAGUUUGAUCAUGGCUCAGGACGAACGCUGGCGGCGUGCUUAACACAUGCAAGUCGAACGGAAAGGCCCUUCGGGGUACUCGAGUGGCGAACGGGUGAGUAACACGUGGGUGAUCUGCCCUGCACUUUGGGAUAAGCCUGGGAGACUGGGUCUAAUACCGAAUAUGACCAUGCACUUCCUGGUGUGUGGUGGAAAGCUUUUGCGGUGUGGGAUGGGCCCGCGGCCUAUCAGCUUGUUGGUGGGGUAAUGGCCUACCAAGGCGACGACGGGUAGCCGGCCUGAGAGGGUGACCGGCCACACUGGGACUGAGAUACGGCCCAGACUCCUACGGGAGGCAGCAGUGGGGAAUAUUGCACAAUGGGCGCAAGCCUGAUGCAGCGACGCCGCGUGAGGGAUGACGGCCUUCGGGUUGUAAACCUCUUUCAGCACAGACGAGGCGCAAGUGACGGUAUGUGCAGAAGAAGGACCGGCCAACUACGUGCCAGCAGCCGCGGUAAUACGUAGGGUCCGAGCGUUGUCCGGAAUUACUGGGCGUAAAGAGCUCGUAGGUGGUUUGUCGCGUUGUUCGUGAAAACUCACAGCUUAACUGUGGGCGUGCGGGCGAUACGGGCAGACUUGAGUACCGCAGGGGAGACUGGAAUUCCUGGUGUAGCGGUGGAAUGCGCAGAUAUCAGGAGGAACACCGGUGGCGAAGGCGGGUCUCUGGGCAGUAACUGACGCUGAGGAGCGAAAGCGUGGGGAGCGAACAGGAUUAGAUACCCUGGUAGUCC
RNAcentral lists this ribosomal RNA (771 nucleotides) under uncultured bacterium. RNAcentral describes it as "bacterial SSU rRNA". It matches the Rfam family "Bacterial small subunit ribosomal RNA", at positions 8 to 796 of the family's 1533-position model. The record is from RNAcentral.